RNAcentral lists this ribosomal RNA (571 nucleotides) under Haloarcula argentinensis. RNAcentral's name for it is "bacterial SSU rRNA". It matches the Rfam family "Archaeal small subunit ribosomal RNA", at positions 399 to 968 of the family's 1478-position model. Lineage: Archaea; Methanobacteriati; Methanobacteriota; Halobacteria; Halobacteriales; Haloarculaceae. The record is from RNAcentral.
AGCCCUCGCUUUUCUGUACCGUAAGGUGGUACAGGAACAAGGACUGGGCAAGACCGGUGCCAGCCGCCGCGGUAAUACCGGCAGUCCAAGUGAUGGCCGAUAUUAUUGGGCCUAAAGCGUCCGUAGCUUGCUGUGUAAGUCCAUUGGGAAAUCGACCAGCUCAACUGGUCGGCGUCCGGUGGAAACUACACAGCUUGGGGCCGAGAGACUCAACGGGUACGUCCGGGGUAGGAGUGAAAUCCUGUAAUCCUGGACGGACCACCAAUGGGGAAACCACGUUGAGAGACCGGACCCGACAGUGAGGGACGAAAGCCAGGGUCUCGAACCGGAUUAGAUACCCGGGUAGUCCUGGCUGUAAACAAUGCUCGCUAGGUAUGUCACGCGCCAUGAGCACGUGAUGUGCCGUAGUGAAGACGAUAAGCGAGCCGCCUGGGAAGUACGUCCGCAAGGAUGAAACUUAAAGGAAUUGGCGGGGGAGCACCACAACCGGAGGAGCCUGCGGUUUAAUUGGACUCAACGCCGGACAUCUCACCGGUCCCGACAGUAGUAAUGACAGUCAGGUUGACGACUU